This 28-nucleotide small RNA is filed under the name Bombyx mori (domestic silkworm). RNAcentral's name for it is "ovarian small RNA-14688". Lineage: Eukaryota; Metazoa; Arthropoda; Insecta; Lepidoptera; Bombycidae. The record is from RNAcentral.
CUCGCAAUGACUGUGAUGAGAUAGUAAA